ACUGCAGGCUGGGGCUCCGCUCCCCGGCGGGAGCCCGCGCGUGGUUCCCAGCGAAGUCCCCGCGCGGCUGGGCCCAGCGUGAGUAUUCUCCGCCCGCUGUCCUCCCCCUGGAGGCGGCAGCGCCCGUUUAUUUGAGGCUUCUAAUGUGAGGAAAAACACGGAAUGACAAGUGUGGGAAAGAGCAAGCACUAAAUUACUGUCAGAAAAAUAAACGGAGUAGCACAGUGCUGCUCGGUGAUUUACGGGGGCAAUUAGUCACCACCCCACGGCGCUGCUGAGGACAGCACGGCAGCAGACAAGUCAGGCCCAUGAGGAAGAAGAGGCUUUGCACUGCUCUCCAGACAACUUUUCAAACAACAAGAGAGGAUAUUUGAGCACAUUAGGUUUUGUGUCUUCAUUCUGGGUACCUACUCUUCAUAUUAUUCUACCAACUUAAUACAUAAACAUAUUUUUAGCACAAUAUGAACCUGUUCUAUGUGUGUUUAAAAGCCUCCAGCAGCAACUUUUUUCUCUCCCACUGUCCAAAGUUGGGUUUUCCCCAUCCCUUAAAAAACAAAACAAAAAAACCUUUCUUCACUCCAAAUUGUCCCCCUGGUGUGUGGUUUUGGUCUUUCUCAUUACUUCUUGCAUCUUGCUACAUGUUCUGCAUUUGCUCAGAGCCACUGGGUGCUAAGGAAUUUGGUCUGCUGCUCCUCUGGGAAAGUUUGGUAAGCUGGUACAAGGAGGUGAUGAACAAGGCUAAAUGAAAAUCAUACAUAAACUUCCCAAUAUUUGUGAACAUGUUCUUUAACAUACCAUACAUAGUUUCUAUGUAUAUGUAACAUAGCAAAACAAACUUGCUAAGGUAUAAUUAAUUGGUAUGCAUGCCUUCAUAAAUAUUCACCAUCAGAAGAAACCUAGAAUGAAAGGUUGUGAAAGAACCCAGGAAUGAGAAAGACUUUAUUGACUAAAGGCCAUGUCUAUGUAGGGGCAACAAUGAAGCUGUGGGUGAGCAAAUGAAGCUUCAUCAGGAGUUUAGUAUCCUUAUGUAGCAUUACCUAAGAAUGCUACCAUAGUAAAUUUCUGAAGUACUUUACCUGUUACAAAGAACGUUUGUAAUCUCCUUUUCUUAUUUGAUCUUGCCCUGGCUUUAGUCAGGAACACCUGCUCAGUUAGAAAUGUAUUCGGUGGGUAUGUACGCAGUUGGAGAAUGUGCCCCAACACACGCCGCCUUUGGCCUGUAUGUUGGAGUCCUAGAGAGGCAGACAAUGUUGAUGAGCUUGGUACCAGCAUGGUGCGCCAUUCAUCCGGACACAAUUUCUGAUAAAGAGGGUCACAACUGGGAGAAACCUCAGAUUCUACUUGCUUCUCUUCUCCACGUUAUUAGACUUUUUUUCCCCUCUUGAAUUUUAUAAGCACACUCCUUUUAAAACAAUUAAUUAAUAACGAGCACUGGGAUUUGAUGUAGAAUUGCGUAUUUGUAACUGCAAUGGCACUGGUUUUCAACUACCCUGUAACAAGGAAGCAAUUCUAACCAGCAAAAGAGGCAGACGUGUUUCUGUGCAACAUCACAGGCGUGUGAAAUUGUUCAGAUAUUGAGAUAUCAGGAGUGAUAUAAAUUGGAAAUUUAACCAAAAAUAUUUUCCAUCAGUGAACAAAGCCGAUUUUAAAGUGCCUCUUGCAUUUUUCAGAUCUUUCUCUUUCUUUUUCCCAAAGUCACAUUGUAGUUUCUGAUAAAGGAACACACUGGGAAAACUAAGCACAUAUUUAAUCAAUGAAAUUUAAGGUGUAAAAAUUCUGCAUUUCUGACAAAUUUAAUGUUCACUUUUUUCUUGAUUUAAAUAGAGCAUUCUAAAAAUAUUACCCCUAUAGGGGAUAAAUUUUUAUAUGCAUGUUAUUUUUCUUUACAAAGUGUGGGCUAGUAAAGAGUGAAAAAGACCUUGGCUAUUGUACUUAUUUCUUGAAAGAAAUAAUAGCAUCUUAAUGACUGGAUUCAAAUCUCUGCUUAUCACACAACUUCCGUACAGUUCAAAGAGAGGACUUGGAUUGAAUGAAAACAGAGAGCUGGGGCUUCCUACAUUCCCCUGUGUUUGUGUUCAUACAGAAUAUUUAUGCAAUAUUCUGACUUGGCCAUAAUCUGUAAUUCCUGCCUAUUAUUCUCAGUUGCAACUAUAAAUUCUAGAUUAAUGGUUAUAAUUUUGGUAAGGCAUACAUGAAAAGUUAUAUGUUCCUGCUUGAAAGGAGGAUCAUUAAAUAUUCAUUAUUACCACUCAAAUUAGUUGUCAUGCUCUGUGUAAUAGUUACCCGUUAUCAUUUCACUAGUUUGGAUUCAGCAGUAAGUGAACAGCAAUAUAUAGCUCAUAGCGCCAGAGGACUUUUUUUGUCGGGGAACAGGGAGAGAAAUGAUUUUAAAACCCAUUUGACAUAUUUAUGUUGACAAAUUAUUUAAAGGAAUUACUGUGUUGUAAUAAACAUGUUUGUAUGUUGGAAUAGGAUUGUGGCUAAAUUUGCUUCUAGCUGUUUAAUUACUCUUAUUAUGAUUGUGAAAAACAGUGCUUCUUCAAGUAGUUCCAAGGAAAAAAAUAGAAAAUGGAAAAGUUGAGCUAUUUCAGUCUUUUGCAGGUAUCUAACCUUGCCAUGAAAAAGCACUUUUCAUUUUUGUAAGUAGAUAUUGAAAUCUUGCUUUUUCAGCGAAGCUAGAUUGUAUAAUUUAUUAGUUUUCUCCACCUGGUAACACAUCCUUAAGAAAAAAAUUGCCAAAAGUAAAGCAUGAGAUGGAUUUUAAAAUAAAUGUUGUGGAUGAACAC
RNAcentral lists this long non-coding RNA (2786 nucleotides) under Homo sapiens (human). RNAcentral's name for it is "non-protein coding lnc-ZNF644-1:18". Lineage: Eukaryota; Metazoa; Chordata; Mammalia; Primates; Hominidae. The record is from RNAcentral.